RNAcentral lists this ribosomal RNA (253 nucleotides) under uncultured bacterium. RNAcentral describes it as "partial 16S ribosomal RNA". It matches the Rfam family "Bacterial small subunit ribosomal RNA", at positions 524 to 776 of the family's 1533-position model. The record is from RNAcentral.
UACGUAGGGCGCAAGCGUUAUCCGGAAUUAUUGGGCGUAAAGAGCUCGUAGGCGGUUUGUCGCGUCUGAUGUGAAAGACCGGGGCUCAACUCCGGUUCUGCAGUGGGUACGGGCAGACUAGAGUGAUGUAGGGGAGACUGGAAUUCCUGGUGUAGCGGUGAAAUGCGCAGAUAUCAGGAGGAACACCGAUGGCGAAGGCAGGUCUCUGGGCAGUAACUGACGCUGAGGAGCGAAAGCAUGGGGAGCGAACAGG